This 253-nucleotide ribosomal RNA is filed under the name uncultured bacterium. RNAcentral describes it as "partial 16S ribosomal RNA". It matches the Rfam family "Bacterial small subunit ribosomal RNA", at positions 524 to 776 of the family's 1533-position model. The record is from RNAcentral.
UACAGAGGGUGCAAGCGUUGUUCGGCAUUAUUGGGCGUAAAGGGCGCGUAGGCGGUGCGGUAAGUCUGCGGUGAAAUCUCCCGGCUCAACUGGGAGGCUGCCGUGGAAACUGCCGUGCUUGAGUGUGGGAGAGGUGAGUGGAAUUCCCGGUGUAGCGGUGAAAUGCGUAGAUAUCUGGAGGAACACCGGUGGCGAAGGCGGCAUCCUGGACCGAUACUGACGCUGAGGAGCGAAAGCCAGGGGAGCAAACGGG